Molecule: ribosomal RNA, 509 nt
Filed under: uncultured Archaeospora
Lineage: Eukaryota; Fungi; Glomeromycota; Glomeromycetes; Archaeosporales; Archaeosporaceae
Description: SSU rRNA
Rfam family: Eukaryotic small subunit ribosomal RNA
Source: RNAcentral
AGCAGCCGCGGUAAUUCCAGCCCCAAUAGCGUAUAUUAAAGUUGUUGCAGUUAAAAAGCUCGUAGUUGAAUUUUAGGCCUGGCCGGGCGGUCCGUCUUUGGCGAAUACUGUCUUGUUGUCGGGUCUUCCUUCUGGUGAACUAGUAUGCCCUUUAUUGGGUGUGUUGGGGAGCCAGGACCAUUACCUUGAAAAAUUAGAGUGUUUAAAGCGGGCUAUUGCUUGAAUAGAUUAGCAUGGAAUAAUAGAAUAGGACGUUUGUGGUUCUAUUUUGUUGGUUUCUAGGACCACCGUAAUGAUUAAUAGGGAUAGUUGGGGGCAUUAGUAUUCAAUUGUCAGAGGUGAAAUUCUUGGAUUUAUUGAAGACUAACUAUUGCGAAAGCAUUUGCCAAGGAUGUUUUCAUUAAUCAAGAACGAAAGUUAGGGGAUCGAAGACGAUCAGAUACCGUCGUAGUCUUAACCAUAAACUAUGCCGACUAGGAAUCGGGCGACGUUAUUUUCAUGACUCGCUC